This 465-nucleotide ribosomal RNA is filed under the name uncultured bacterium. RNAcentral describes it as "partial 16S ribosomal RNA". It matches the Rfam family "Bacterial small subunit ribosomal RNA", at positions 28 to 507 of the family's 1533-position model. The record is from RNAcentral.
GACGAACGCUGGCGGCGUGCUUAACACAUGCAAGUCGAACGGAAAGGCCCUGCUUGCAGGGUACUCGAGUGGCGAACGGGUGAGUAACACGUGGGUGAUCUGCCCUGCACUUCGGGAUAAGCCUGGGAAACUGGGUCUAAUACCGGAUAGGAGCCAUUUUUAGUGUGAUGGUUGGAAAGUUUUUUCGGUGUAGGAUGUGCUCGCGGCCUAUCAGCUUGUUGGUGGGGUAAUGGCCUACCAAGGCGGCGACGGGUAGCCGGCCUGAGAGGGUGGACGGCCACAUUGGGACUGAGAUACGGCCCAGACUCCUACGGGAGGCAGCAGUGGGGAAUAUUGCACAAUGGGCGCAAGCCUGAUGCAGCGACGCCGCGUGGGGGAUGACGGCCUUCGGGUUGUAAACUCCUUUCGCUAGGGACGAAGCUUUUUGUGACGGUACCUAGAUAAGAAGCACCGGCUAACUACGUG